RNAcentral lists this ribosomal RNA (433 nucleotides) under uncultured bacterium. RNAcentral describes it as "partial 16S ribosomal RNA". It matches the Rfam family "Bacterial small subunit ribosomal RNA", at positions 29 to 507 of the family's 1533-position model. The record is from RNAcentral.
AACGAACGCUGGCGGCAUGCCUAACACAUGCCAGUCGAACGAGACCUUCGGGUCUAGUGGCGCACGGGUGCGUAACGCGUGGGAACCUGCCCUUAGGUUCGGAAUAACUCCCCGAAAGGGGUGCUAAUACCGGAUAAUGUCUUCGGACCAAAGAUUUAUCGCCUUUGGAUGGGCCCGCGUUGGAUUAGCUAGUUGGUAGGGUAAAAGCCUACCAAGGCGACGAUCCAUAGCUGGUCUGAGAGGAUGAUCAGCCACACUGGGACUGAGACACGGCCCAGACUCCUACGGGAGGCAGCAGUGGGGAAUAUUGGACGAUGGGCGAAAGCCUGAUCCAGCAAUGCCGCGUGAGUGAUGAAGGCCUUAGGGUUGUAAAGCUCUUUUACCCGGGAUGAUAAUGACAGUACCGGGAGAAUAAGCGCCGGCUAACUCCGUG